This 357-nucleotide ribosomal RNA is filed under the name Triticum aestivum (bread wheat). Its description in RNAcentral is "partial small subunit ribosomal RNA". The record is from RNAcentral. Lineage: Eukaryota; Viridiplantae; Streptophyta; Magnoliopsida; Poales; Poaceae.
AUGAACAUGCAUGAACUUCCUGGAGAAUCCAAUGUUGUAGAAAAAAUGCAUAUGCAAGUGAAUACAGCCGAGCUCCAGCCCAUGAAGUUGAACCUCUGUAUGUCUGCAUCGGUGGAGCAGAAGCUGCUCACUCACCUGAAGGUUGCUGGACGGGAUCAGUUUGAAUGGCAGCUGCCUGAACCGGAUCGCGGCAGGUACGAAAGACAAGGGGCCAGCAUGGUCAAUGUCAUGGUCGUUGGUGCCUCACUCCCCUGGUCAUGGUCACGGUUGCCGACACCAGCGUCGACGUCUCGCCCUCGACAUAAUCCUGAUCAACCCCUCCCAACGCUCGACCUUGCGGACCCCCGUCAGCAGUGA